Molecule: ribosomal RNA, 429 nt
Filed under: Chloroflexota bacterium
Lineage: Bacteria; Bacillati; Chloroflexota
Description: Chloroflexi bacterium partial 16S ribosomal RNA
Rfam family: Bacterial small subunit ribosomal RNA
Source: RNAcentral
UGGGGAAUAUUGCACAAUGGGCGCAAGCCUGAUGCAGCCAUGCCGCGUGUAUGAAGAAGGCCUUCGGGUUGUAAAGUACUUUCAGUCGGGAGGAAGGUGGUAAGGUUAAUAACCUUGGCAAUUGACGUUACCGACAGAAGAAGCACCGGCUAACUCCGUGCCAGCAGCCGCGGUAAUACGGAGGGUGCAAGCGUUAAUCGGAAUUACUGGGCGUAAAGCGCACGCAGGCGGUUGAUUGAGUCAGAUGUGAAAUCUCCGGGCUUAACCCGGGAAUUGCAUCUGAUACUGGUCAGCUAGAGUCUUGUAGAGGGGGGUAGAAUUCCAUGUGUAGCGGUGAAAUGCGUAGAGAUGUGGAGGAAUACCGGUGGCGAAGGCGGCCCCCUGGACAAAGACUGACGCUCAGGUGCGAAAGCGUGGGGAGCAAACAGG